GUGGGGAAUAUUGCACAAUGGGGAAACCCUGAUGCAGCGACGCCGCGUGAAGGAAGAAGUAUCUCGGUAUGUAAACUUCUAUCAGCAGGGAAGAUAGUGACGGUACCUGACUAAGAAGCCCCGGCUAACUACGUGCCAGCA
This 141-nucleotide ribosomal RNA is filed under the name uncultured bacterium. RNAcentral's name for it is "partial 16S ribosomal RNA". It matches the Rfam family "Bacterial small subunit ribosomal RNA", at positions 354 to 513 of the family's 1533-position model. The record is from RNAcentral.